This 466-nucleotide ribosomal RNA is filed under the name uncultured bacterium. Its description in RNAcentral is "bacterial SSU rRNA". It matches the Rfam family "Bacterial small subunit ribosomal RNA", at positions 338 to 795 of the family's 1533-position model. The record is from RNAcentral.
CCUACGGGAGGCAGCAGUGAGGAAUCUUGCGCAAUGGGCGAAAGCCUGACGCAGCGACGCCGCGUGAAGGAUGAAGGUCUUCGGAUUGUAAACUUCUGUCGAGUGGGACGAAUGCCAUGAGGGCGAAUAACCCUCGUGGUUGACGGUACCGCUGGAGGAAGCCCCGGCUAACUCCGUGCCAGCAGCCGCGGUAANACGGAGGGGGCCAGCGUUGUUCGGAAUCAUUGGGCGUAAAGGGCGCGUAGGCGGCCGAUCAAGUCGGAGGUGAAAUCCCUCGGCUCAACUGAGGAACUGCCUCCGAUACUGUUCGGCUUGAGUCCUGGAGAGGGUAGUGGAAUUCCGAGUGUAGCGGUGAAAUGCGUAGAUAUCUGGAGGAACACCGGUGGCGAAGGCGGCGUCCUGGACCGGUAUUGACACUGAGGAGCGAAAGCCAGGGGAGCAAACGGGAUUAGAUACCCUUGUANUC